This is a long non-coding RNA of Panicum virgatum (switchgrass), 2222 nucleotides long. RefSeq lists it as uncharacterized. The transcript is spliced from 8 exons. NCBI's taxonomy places the organism in Eukaryota, Viridiplantae, Streptophyta, Magnoliopsida, Poales, Poaceae. The record is from RefSeq and is a predicted model, not a curated record.
GGCUUACCCGCCCGCCUGUAACCAAACCGCUAAUUUCCUCGCGACGCCGCCUCCCCAGCGCUAAUUCCGCCGCCGCCUCCCAAAAAUUGCCUCCCGACUACCGAGCGCGUCAGCUCCGUCGCCGCACCUCGCCACGGCCGGCGGCGCUUGCUUGCUUCGGCUCCAACUCUACUGCUGCUGGGCCGUGGCGUUCGUUCCGGCGGACGUCCCGCUCCGACGGACCCCGCGAUCUUGCCUCGCCGCCCGUUCCGCUCGCUCUCGGGGACGGGCCGGCGGACGUCUCGCUCGCUCUUGGGGACGGGCUGGCCGCACCGGUCGCCGCCCCUUCCGCCGUUUCCGGGGCUGCCCGACGUCGCGCCUCCCCCCGACGUGGCACCUGCCUCCGACCCCGCCGCAUCCUCACCUGGCUCCGAUGCCACCACAACCUGCAACGCUGACUCCCCGUCGCAGCACCUGCUGGCCUUCCCGGCGGGCACGGGCGCUGGCCCCUCGGGUACGACUCGCGACGCCGCCUCCCCGCCCACAAAUCGACGCCGCACCGCUGCGCCGCCUAGGGUCGACAAUGACGUCCCCGCCAUGGCCUUCCUCGGAUCGACAUCGAGCGCCGCCCCGCGCAUCCGGAUCCGGCGACCUCCUGCCGGGAUGCUGCCGCUCUCCGCGCACGGAUCUCCGAGCUCUCUCUACCCCGGCCGGCCGCCAAUCGCGCCGCACACCCUGAUCCGGCGACCUCCAGUCGCACGGGUCGACGGGCCACCGUGUAGCCGCUCACCGCGGAUCUCCGACCUCACUCCGCCCCGGCCGGCCGCUCGUGGAACCGUCGCCCUCCGACUGAUUCUCCCUUGCUUCGGUCCCUGAUUGAUGCAGAAUUUGUAACUUGGGAUGGGUCAAUGCUCAAGCUCACUUAUUUCAUCAACAGUUUACCCCUGCAGCUUCUAAUAGGUCUUCUUGUAAUUGUAACUCGUAGGGUCAAUUGCUACCUGAUCCAAAGACUUUCCCUUCAGGCAUCAAAGCUCUUGCAGAUUAUGUGCACAGAAAAAGUUUAAAGCUUGGUUUAUACUCAGAUGCUGGGAAAUUUACUUGUCAAGUUGGACCUGGAUCGCUCUAUCAUGAAAAUGAUGAUGUUGCACUCUUUGCUUCAUGGGGUAUUGAAUACCUGAAGUAUGGCAACUGAUUCAAUCUAGGAAUAAAGCCUAAGAAAAGGUUAGAAGGCCAACAUGUCUUCACUCAGUGUUGACCACGGUUUAGAACACAUGAGACCUUACCAUGCUGUCCUAAAGUUUGUUUCAUGGUGUCAUAUUCGUAGAUAUCCAGGCACGUGUUUAUGCAGUAUAAACCUGUAGGUGAUAAACACAUGAAGAACGUACCUGUUGACUGCGGAUGCCAUCCGCAGCAUGGCCGCCUCUAGAGUGCCGAGACGUGGCUGUCGACGCCCCUCUGGUUAGGAUUCUGGUGAGGUCUUUUCUUUCUGGUUCAGAUGUCAAGAAUGCUCAAAAUGUGGUAGGCGAUUUGUGAAUAGCAGUUAUUUGGGGAAUAUAUAUGCUACACUUGUCAUUCUCAAAUGUGUGUGUUCGGAUGGAGCUGGAUCGGCAUGCUGGGCAAGAACCAAAGAACAUCGCAGCCAUGCUUUGGUUCCGUACGGAGGAGACGCGGCUCCACCCAUGCUGUACACCCUGCGAUGGAGACGGUGCACGCUUGGCAGCCAGGAUGCAUUUCAGGGACCUAGAUAAACACGGGUAAUCCUUAAUCUGGACGGGACUCACUAAUCCGGUGGCAUCGCCGCAUCAGCCAUGCUCAUAGGGAGGUUGUUAGCAUAAAAAACAAUGAAGUACAUGUGCAGACAUCAAAUGGGAAAAAGGAUAUGGCAGAUCAAAAGUUUUUCCCAAGGAUAUGGAAGCUCCACCUGGAGGAGUUGAUGAUAUGACAAUACUGUCAUACUUACAUGAACCUGGUGUUCUUCAGAAUCUUGCUAUAUGAACUGAAUGAAAUAUAUGUGAGCGCCUUACCAUCUUUGCCUAAAAUCUUACACCAAAUAAAUUGCAUAGUUGCUCAUGAUAAGAAUUCUGUUGUACCCAUAUAUACACUGGCAGCAUUUUGAUUGCUGUAAAUCCAUUUCAAAGAUUGCCACAUCUUUAUGAUACCCACGUGAUGGAACAAUACAAAGAAUUGAGUCCCGAUGUUUUGAUGUAACCCAAUUAUUUUUAAAUAUAAUUAUUCUUUAAACA